AUUCCUUGGACUUAUCGUUUAAGCAUAUAACAUUUAUAUGAGACGGCUCAAACAAUAAUCUUUGCCCUUUAUAGUUAAACUAGAUUAGUUUAACAUGUGAAAUGUCCGUAAAGUAUCAUCAUAUGAUUGGUUUUAGGGCACACUUCCAACAAAAAUAAGCCAUUUUAACAAAUGGAACUUCAUAAUGGAUGAAGUACUAAUCAUAUGAAUGAUUGUUAGUAUUGUACUACAAUGGUCUCAAAGGUUGGAGCAAAGUUUGUAUAAAGUAUACAAACGAAAUAUAUGUUGAUAUAUAGUUUUAGAAACUGCUUCAAAAGGUGUUUUGAAUGGAAGGGGUUCUUUUAGAACCAAUGAUUGAAUCCAAACUAUAAGGUCGUUAGUAGGAUACUACGACGUAAUGGGGCGAUAGCUCAAGCCAUGGAAUCAAGGUCUCAUCAAAGUAUUCGAACACAAUAAAGAGACAUCAUCAAAUGUUUUGGAAACAUUUGAUAAGAAAAUCCAUUUUAAAUAAUAAAAGGGAUUAAUACAUAACCAAGUUAACCUACAAGCAUAAGCUCUCUCAACAAGAUGUAUAAGAUACACUAGUGAUUGACUUUAGUGCAAGUGGGAGAUUGUUGGAAAUAUGCCCUGAAAGUCAACCUUUGAAAGAAACCUUUCAGGACAAACGAAUCGAUGUAUGGAUGACUCUUAUACAUCAAAUGGCAAAGACACGAAUUAGGACUAUCUCAAUAAACGAUAUAUGUCCUAAAUAGUGUAUCCAUGGAUAAUGGAUCGAUUGAAGAAGUAAUCUAAUGAUGUUAGACUACAGAGACCUUCUUCACAUAACCAUUAUGU
This 834-nucleotide long non-coding RNA is filed under the name Malus domestica (apple). RNAcentral's name for it is "long non-coding RNA (MDOM_LNC004576)". The record is from RNAcentral. Lineage: Eukaryota; Viridiplantae; Streptophyta; Magnoliopsida; Rosales; Rosaceae.